CCUACGGGAGGCUGCAGUGGGGAAUAUUGGACAAUGGGGGGAACCCUGAUCCAGCCAUGCCGCGUGUGUGAAGAAGGCCCUCGGGUUGUAAAGCACUUUCAGUGAGGAAGAACGCCUGGUGGUUAAUACCCAUCAGGAAAGACAUCACUCACAGAAGAAGCACCGGCUAACUCCGUGCCAGCAGCCGCGGUAAUACGGAGGGUGCGAGCGUUAAUCGGAAUUACUGGGCGUAAAGCGCGCGUAGGUGGCUUGAUAAGCCGGUUGUGAAAGCCCCGGGCUCAACCUGGGAACGGCAUCCGGAACUGUGAAGCUAGAGGGCAGGAGAGGAAGGUAGAAUUCCCGGUGUAGCGGUGAAAUGCGUAGAGAUCGGGAGGAAUACCAGUGGCGAAGGCGGCCUUCUGGACUGACACUGACACGGCGGUGCGAAAGCGUGGGUAGCAAACAGGAUUAGAGACCCGGGUAGUC
Molecule: ribosomal RNA, 465 nt
Filed under: Vreelandella stevensii
Lineage: Bacteria; Pseudomonadati; Pseudomonadota; Gammaproteobacteria; Oceanospirillales; Halomonadaceae
Description: partial 16S ribosomal RNA
Rfam family: Bacterial small subunit ribosomal RNA
Source: RNAcentral